Molecule: ribosomal RNA, 851 nt
Filed under: Lepidocollema marianum
Lineage: Eukaryota; Fungi; Ascomycota; Lecanoromycetes; Peltigerales; Collemataceae
Description: eukaryotic LSU rRNA
Rfam family: 5.8S ribosomal RNA (bases 480-633)
Source: RNAcentral
AAAGUCGUAACAAGGUUUCCGUAGGUGAACCUGCGGAAGGAUCAUUACAGUGAGAGAAGAGGAGUCUAGAGUUAAAGCCCUAGAACUCCUCCCGGGGAGGUUUUACCACCUCUCCGACUCUUCACCCUGUGUGGAUCGUGUUCCGGGUUGCUUCGGCGAGCCACAACUGAUAUAUAUAUUGCGUGAAAGGGGAAGAAAGAGCGCCCGCUCGUUGAUGCCCACCAAAAAGCUUUUUUUAAAAAAAAAAAGAAAAAACCUUUAGGUUAUGGCAGACUGAGCGGGUCUUUCCGAAGGGCUUGUCCCUCUCUUUUGCUAGUAACACCAGUUAGUAUUUAGUCGCUCUAGGUUAGGUGGCUUAUUGAUUCGAAUAAGUCAGCUGCUCUAGACGGCGUGUUGCUUCGCCGAAGGUUUAAUUUAAACCAACUUGUUAACUGUGAAUUGCAAUGGCGCGUGUUCGCGCAAUGCCCCACAAUGUUUAAAACUUUCAACAACGGAUCUCUUGGUUCUGGCAUCGAUGAAGAACGCAGCGAAAUGCGAUAAGUAAUGUGAAUUGCAGAAUUCAGUGAAUCAUCGAAUUUUUGAACGCAUAUUGCGCCCUCCGGCACUCCGGGGGGCAUACCUGUUCGAGCGUUAUGAAAAGCUUCUUUUUAACCUGUAAUCAACGGGUUAGAAGUUGUGGGCCAGCGUCUUUGGACGGGUCUGAAACCUAACGGCGGUACCGGCGAGCCCGUAUGCAGUGUGAUAAACAUCUUAACACGUCGCGCGGGAUCCCGUAGAUGACUUGCCUACAGCGCCCCUGCGUUUAAUUGAUAAAUUGACCUCGGAUCAGGUAGGGGUACCCGCUGAACUUA